GCGGGGAUUGCAGGGACGGGGUUAAACCGCGGGUGGGGACGGCACCGCCGAGCCGGGCCGGGACUCGGGGCGGCCCAGGGGACUCAUGGAAAGCGGCGGGACGGGCAGAAGCGGAGCUCGGGGCUGUGACCCGCGAUGGACUCACAGGGCCGGAGCUCGGUGAGGAGCCGGUGCUCGGAGUACCCCGGGCAGCGCACGGCUCCGGGAAUGGCGAGAGGUAAAUAAAGAGCUUGAUAAAAACCGUAUCCAAAAAUCCCGGGAAACGGCGCUGCCUUUUACGGCAGUCGCGAUUUUCGGGUCCUUUUACCACAGUCGCGAUUUACGACAGUCGUGAUUUACGGCACUUCAAUUUGCAGCACUUUAAAAUAAAGUAAAAUAAAAUAAAAUGCUUUAAAAAUAGAAAUAUCAAAAGUAAAAAUAGAAAAACUAAAAACAAAAAUGAAAAAUAUAAAUGAAUUGGAACAAAAAAUGAAAUAAUAGCUGUGAUUUUAUUUUUUUUUAAAUUUUAUUUGGUUUGGGGCUGCCCAGGGUGGGGGAAGGGGUGGGAACCUUUCGAAAGGAUUCAUUGAUUUAUGAUUUAUCAAUUUGCGAUUUAUUACUGCGCGACUCAUUGAUUCACUUUUUACUAAUUGGUGGUUUAUUAAUUUACGAUCUCUAUUACAUUAAAUGGAAACGAGUUGUGAGAACUGCACUAAACUAAAGCAGGUGAGGUUUGGGGUCCCAGGUGAGUUCUCAGGUGAGUUUGGGGUCUCUCAGGUGCCGGGGUCAAGGGCAGGGCGGUGACGCCUCCAGGUGGUUCCCAGGUGUCUCUCAGGUGUGUCCCUGGUGUAUCUCAGGGGAGUUUUGGGGUCUCUCAGGUGAUUUCCAGGUGAGUUUUGGGGUGUUCCAGGUAUCCCAGGUGUGUCCCAGGUGUGUCCCAGGUGUCUCUCAGGUGUGUCCCAGGUGUGUCCAGCUGUGCCCAGCUGUCCGUCACGCGCAGGGGUCAAAGGGCAGCGCGGUGACGCCCCCGUGCAGCUCCAGCCCCGCCUGUGCCCAGGCCAGCAGGUCCCCGCGGGGGGGGGCGGGGCUCUGGCACCGCGCCAGCGCCGCCACCUCGGGCGGGGCCAGGGCGCGGCCCCACAGGUGCAGCUCGGCCAGGUCCCCCACGAACGCCUGCGAGGCGUCAAAGCGGCCGCCC
Molecule: long non-coding RNA, 1177 nt
Filed under: Junco hyemalis (dark-eyed junco)
Lineage: Eukaryota; Metazoa; Chordata; Aves; Passeriformes; Passerellidae
Description: lncRNA (ENSJHYG00000007451.1)
Source: RNAcentral